Molecule: long non-coding RNA, 185 nt
Organism: Limulus polyphemus (Atlantic horseshoe crab)
Lineage: Eukaryota; Metazoa; Arthropoda; Merostomata; Xiphosura; Limulidae
Exons: 3
Source: RefSeq, a predicted model, not a curated record
AGUCUAAAAACCGGCGAACUUCCUGUUGUAUCUUGAAAAUGGAAUCACAGAAAAAGAAAUUCAACUUGAAGUCUUGGAUUAAGCUCGGAGUAACGUACUUCAGAAAAUGUGUUACGGAAGAAAAACUUCAAUCAAUGAGAAUUAGAAACACUAUACACCUUACUAAAAGAAUUAAUAUCGAGAGA